GGUUAAGCGACUAAGCGUACACGGUGGAUGCCCUGGCAGUCAGAGGCGAUGAAGGACGUGCUAAUCUGCGAUAAGCGUCGGUAAGGUGAUAUGAACCGUUAUAACCGGCGAUUUCCGAAUGGGGAAACCCAGUGUGUUUCGACACACUAUCAUUAACUGAAUCCAUAGGUUAAUGAGGCGAACCGGGGGAACUGAAACAUCUAAGUACCCCGAGGAAAAGAAAUCAACCGAGAUUCCCCCAGUAGCGGCGAGCGAACGGGGAGCAGCCCAGAGCCUGAAUCAGUGUGUGUGUUAGUGGAAGCGUCUGGAAAGGCGCGCGAUACAGGGUGACAGCCCCGUACACAAAAAUGCACAUGCUGUGAGCUCGAUGAGUAGGGCGGGACACGUGGUAUCCUGUCUGAAUAUGGGGGGACCAUCCUCCAAGGCUAAAUACUCCUGACUGACCGAUAGUGAACCAGUACCGUGAGGGAAAGGCGAAAAGAACCCCGGCGAGGGGAGUGAAAAAGAACCUGAAACCGUGUACGUACAAGCAGUGGGAGCACGCUUAGGCGUGUGACUGCGUACCUUUUGUAUAAUGGGUCAGCGACUUAUAUUCUGUAGCAAGGUUAACCGAAUAGGGGAGCCGAAGGGAAACCGAGUCUUAACUGGGCGUUAAGUUGCAGGGUAUAGACCCGAAACCCGGUGAUCUAGCCAUGGGCAGGUUGAAGGUUGGGUAACACUAACUGGAGGACCGAACCGACUAAUGUUGAAAAAUUAGCGGAUGACUUGUGGCUGGGGGUGAAAGGCCAAUCAAACCGGGAGAUAGCUGGUUCUCCCCGAAAGCUAUUUAGGUAGCGCCUCGUGAAUUCAUCUCCGGGGGUAGAGCACUGUUUCGGCAAGGGGGUCAUCCCGACUUACCAACCCGAUGCAAACUGCGAAUACCGGAGAAUGUUAUCACGGGAGACACACGGCGGGUGCUAACGUCCGUCGUGAAGAGGGAAACAACCCAGACCGCCAGCUAAGGUCCCAAAGUCAUGGUUAAGUGGGAAACGAUGUGGGAAGGCCCAGACAGCCAGGAUGUUGGCUUAGAAGCAGCCAUCAUUUAAAGAAAGCGUAAUAGCUCACUGGUCGAGUCGGCCUGCGCGGAAGAUGUAACGGGGCUAAACCAUGCACCGAAGCUGCGGCAGC
Molecule: ribosomal RNA, 1167 nt
Filed under: Escherichia coli
Lineage: Bacteria; Pseudomonadati; Pseudomonadota; Gammaproteobacteria; Enterobacterales; Enterobacteriaceae
Description: partial 23S ribosomal RNA
Rfam family: Bacterial large subunit ribosomal RNA
Source: RNAcentral